GAUGAACGCUGGCGGCAUGCCUAAUACAUGCAAGUCGAACGAGAGGAAGGAAAGCUUGCUUUCCUGAAUCUAGUGGCGAACGGGUGAGUAACACGUAGGUAACCUGCCCAUGUGCCUGGGAUAACUUCUGGAAACGGAUGCUAAAACCGGAUAGGUAGCAGACAAGCAUUUGACUGCUAUUAAAGUGGCCUUGGCCAUGAACAUGGAUGGACCUGCGGUGCAUUAGCUGGUUGGUGAGGUAACGGCCCACCAAGGCGACGAUGCAUAGCCGGCCUGAGAGGGCGGACGGCCACAUUGGGACUGAGACAAGGCCCAAACUCCUACGGGAGGCAGCAGUAGGGAAUUUUCGUCAAUGGGGGGAACCCUGAACGAGGAAUGCCGCGUGAGUGAGGGAGGUCUUCGGAUCGUAAAGCUCUGUUGUAAGAGAAAAACGGCACCCAUAGGGAAUGAUGAGUGAGUGAUGGUAUCUUACCAGAAAGUCACGGAUAACUACGUGCCAGCCGCCGCUGUAA
Molecule: ribosomal RNA, 512 nt
Filed under: uncultured bacterium
Lineage: Bacteria
Description: partial 16S ribosomal RNA
Rfam family: Bacterial small subunit ribosomal RNA
Source: RNAcentral